RNAcentral lists this ribosomal RNA (433 nucleotides) under uncultured bacterium. RNAcentral describes it as "partial 16S ribosomal RNA". It matches the Rfam family "Bacterial small subunit ribosomal RNA", at positions 29 to 507 of the family's 1533-position model. The record is from RNAcentral.
AGCGAACGCUGGCGGCAGGCCUAACACAUGCAAGUCGAACGAACUCUUCGGAGUUAGUGGCGGACGGGUGAGUAACACGUGGGAACGUGCCUUUUGGUUCGGAAUAACUCAGGGAAACUUGUGCUAAUACCGAAUGUGCCCUUCGGGGGAAAGAUUUAUCGCCUUUAGAGCGGCCCGCGUCUGAUUAGCUAGUUGGUGAGGUAAAGGCUCACCAAGGCGACGAUCAGUAGCUGGUCUGAGAGGAUGAUCAGCCACAUUGGGACUGAGACACGGCCCAAACUCCUACGGGAGGCAGCAGUGGGGAAUCUUGCGCAAUGGGCGAAAGCCUGACGCAGCCAUGCCGCGUGAAUGAUGAAGGUCUUAGGAUUGUAAAAUUCUUUCACCGGGGACGAUAAUGACGGUACCCGGAGAAGAAGCCCCGGCUAACUUCGUG